CGCGGGACGGCAAAACCAUCCAAUGGGAAGAGGCGAUUCGCGGAGAUUGGCACUGAAGAUGGGAAGCGAUGAUAAGGAAACUAAACUGGAUUAAGUGCUAUCAUCUUGGAGGUGCAAAGGCAAACAAGGAGAAAGAAGUGAUUGAAGAGCACUUCAGAAAGCCUGGUACAUUCAAAUCAGCAGGGCUUGAUUACUCGCAUCCCAGGACACUUAAGGAAUUGGCAAAUAUAAUUGCAAGACCACCAGCCUUUAUUUUAGAAAAUGAAGGUUGGACAGAAGAAGGUCCUGACAAGUAGAAUCAGCAGAUGGAGUACCUGUUUUUUAAAACAGGGAAAAGGACAGCUGUAGUAAUUAUAGACUAUUCAGCUUAUCUUGGAUACCUGGGAAGAUACAAGAGCAAAUCAUCAAACAAUCAAUUUGCAACCACCUAGAAGAGCACAAGGUACUGGGUCGUAAUCAACAUGAUUUUGUGAAGUGCAAAUUAUGCCAUACCAAUUUAAUUUUAUCUAUGGUAGAGUGAUGAGCCUGGCAGAAGAGGGCAAAGAAAUAUCUACAACCGGACUUCAAUAAGGUUUUCUGUUUUUAUUUAAAAUAUUCCAUUUCCUGGCAUUUUCAGCAUCAACCUUCUGAGAGGAUACUAUCUGAACAGCAGUUGGGAAUAUUGAUCUCAGCGUUACUUUGACCAUUAAUGAAUUAUGAUGGCAAUAAGCAAAGAUGCGCACCUCUAGCCUCCAGGGAGCUUAAUCUUCUGCUACAACGUUUGCAUUUAGACAGGGUGUCUCUCUGCUGCUCAGGCUGGAGCGCAGUGGUGCGAUCACAGCUCACUGUAGCCUCGACUUCCUGGGCUCCAGUGACCCUCUCGCCUGAAACCGUACUCCCCCUCAAGCAGCUGAGACUACAGGCAGUGUUUAAGAAGGAUCCAGAAAUACUUCAAGCGAUGCCAGUGGUAGUGUUGCCUCCUCAGAAGACUGCUUUCAGGGGAACAGUAUACAUCUGCCCUAUAAAUUCUGGAUGCACUUCUCACACAGUAUUGAAUUCAUCUAUCCACCUGGCUCAUCAUACAAAUUGUUCCCUGAGUUCAAGGAUCAUGCUGCAUGCUGGAUUCCCCAGGAAGCUGCUUCUGAGAUGGAGUUUAGUGACCAAAAUAUGUAUGUGGGCCUUUGGGUCAUCACCUGUGGAAAGGAAGACAAGGAAACAGGAAUGGACCUAA
RNAcentral lists this long non-coding RNA (1210 nucleotides) under Papio anubis (olive baboon). RNAcentral describes it as "lncRNA (ENSPANG00000047139.1)". Lineage: Eukaryota; Metazoa; Chordata; Mammalia; Primates; Cercopithecidae. The record is from RNAcentral.